AGAGUUUGAUCCUGGCUCAGAUUGAACGCUGGCGGCAUGCCUUACACAUGCAAGUCGAACGGUAACGCGGGGCAACCUGGCGACGAGUGGCGAACGGGUGAGUAAUGUAUCGGAACGUGCCCAGUUGUGGGGGAUAACUGCUCGAAAGAGCAGCUAAUACCGCAUACGACCUGAGGGUGAAAGCGGGGGAUCGCAAGACCUCGCGCAAUUGGAGCGGCCGAUAUCAGAUUAGGUAGUUGGUGGGGUAAAGGCUCACCAAGCCAACGAUCUGUAGCUGGUCUGAGAGGACGACCAGCCACACUGGGACUGAGACACGGCCCAGACUCCUACGGGAGGCAGCAGUGGGGAAUUUUGGACAAUGGACGCAAGUCUGAUCCAGCCAUGCCGCGUGCGGGAAGAAGGCCUUCGGGUUGUAAACCGCUUUUGUCAGGGAAGAAACGCUCUGGGUUAAUACCUCGGGGUAAUGACGGUACCUGAAGAAUAAGCACCGGCUAACUACGUGCCAGCAGCCGCGGUAAUACGUAGGGUGCAAGCGUUAAUCGGAAUUACUGGGCGUAAAGCGUGCGCAGGCGGUUAUGCAAGACAGAGGUGAAAUCCCCGGGCUCAACCUGGGAACUGCCUUUGUGACUGCAUAGCUAGAGUACGGUAGAGGGGGAUGGAAUUCCGCGUGUAGCAGUGAAAUGCGUAGAUAUGCGGAGGAACACCGAUGGCGAAGGCAAUCCCCUGGACCUGUACUGACGCUCAUGCACGAUGCGUGGGGAGCAAACAGGG
RNAcentral lists this ribosomal RNA (771 nucleotides) under uncultured beta proteobacterium. Its description in RNAcentral is "bacterial SSU rRNA". It matches the Rfam family "Bacterial small subunit ribosomal RNA", at positions 8 to 777 of the family's 1533-position model. Lineage: Bacteria; Pseudomonadati; Pseudomonadota; Betaproteobacteria. The record is from RNAcentral.